AAAGGAAUGUGACGAGUUUGUCUAACUAAUUUGUUUACUAAUGUGAGCCUAAGACUAAACUUUGAUCUACCACAGGUGCUUAAUUGCUUUCUACUGGGGAGGUCUGCUAUGUCAAUUACCCUCUAGUGGUGUGGACUCAAGCCUUUGUUAAUUAAUCUUUACUGAACAAAUGCGAGUCUCACUGGCUAGCUGGUCGCGGCGGCUGUCACAACUGUUUACAGCACUCUGCUUGGAGUCUCUAAGAGGCCAGGAUGCUCAGCCGGACUGACAAAGCAGAAUAUCUGUCUGUCAGUGUAUUUUAUUGAUCCCUCGUUGGGUCAGGGUAUGCAGGAUGGACCUCUGCAGCUGUUGCCCCUGUGUAAGGAUUGCUGAGAAUGGAGCCCAGUGGACCCCUGGAAAACGAAGGUGAAGAGGAGCAGGCAGUCAAGUCAGUAAAACAAUCCAGGAGAUAAUCAACUAAGAGCUGGACACCAUUUUGGGUCUAAUAAGAAACAUUUUACAACCUGUUCUCUCUCUGAAGUCUGCUACCUGACAGCUUCCUCUGCACAAUGAAACUUCUUCCCCAAAAUUCUUUAUCUUAACCUGAACAUUCCUUUCCAUUAAUCCCAGGUCUUCAGAUUAACUCAACCAACUGUCAAACAGAAAAUGUUUAAAUUUUCCUGUAGUCUGGAAACCCCUGCUUUGAAAUAUCCUGGCUUUCUUAAAGAAACCAAUGUAUUUCUUGCAUGUAUUUGAUUUAUGUCUCAGCCUCCCUAAAAUAUGUAAAACCAAGCUAUACCCUGAUCAUCUUGGGCACAUGUUCUCAGACCUCCUGAGGGCUUUGUCAUAGGCCAUGGUCACUCAUAUUUGGCUCAAAAUAAACCUCUAAAAAU
RNAcentral lists this long non-coding RNA (872 nucleotides) under Homo sapiens (human). RNAcentral describes it as "HSALNT0288608". Lineage: Eukaryota; Metazoa; Chordata; Mammalia; Primates; Hominidae. The record is from RNAcentral.